This 2613-nucleotide long non-coding RNA is filed under the name Paramuricea clavata. Lineage: Eukaryota; Metazoa; Cnidaria; Anthozoa; Malacalcyonacea; Plexauridae. The record is from RNAcentral.
AGAUUUCUAGCUGUAGCAGCCGUCAGUGCGUUUUGGCAUGGUCUGGCACCAGGGUAUUAUCUAUCGUUCGUCUUUAUUCCAUUAGCUCAAUCCGUUCAGGAAAGAUGUGCAAAGAAAUUUCUACCAUAUCUUAACGAGAAACAGCAAGAAUGGUACUUCUGGGUUAGUUGGUUUAUUGGUUACCGUCUGUUGGAGUAUUUUGGUGUUGGUGUUUGGGUACAUAGCAUGUCAUUAACUUUACGUUGUUGGAGAAGUAUGCGUUAUUAUGGACACAUUCUACUUCUUGUGUUGUUUCUGUUAACAAUUAUUGUCCCUGAUGCUCGUUCUAAACAACACGAUAAAAUAUCACAUGAAAAAUUGUCACAUGAGAAAACGUCUUAAGUUUAGUUUAUUGCAAAAGUUAUAUCAUGGAUUUAAAUUAGUAAGCCCAAUCAAAGAAGUAAAGCCGGUUUCCACUUCAACCGUAUUGUACCAUACCGUAUAGCAUUUAUUUUUUGUCAGUAUCAUGAUGAGUCCCAUCCUAGUUUUCAGAAAACAAAGAAAUACGCUACGGUCAAUGGACAACUUGCAUGUUAGACUAAAUUUUAAUCUAUUAAGUAAAGAGAAGGUCAUCAAACACCACAGCUAAAAAGAACAUAACGAAAAUUGCAAAAUUUAGUUGCGAGAUGAUAUAAAGCUUGGAAAAUAUAGUCUUGUGAAGUUUGCAAAUUUUGUAUAUGUUUGUAUUACGUGCGCAAAUUGUUACCAUUUUCGGCUCAAAAAUGGUAACCAUUUCCGCACGUAAUACAAACAUAUACAACAUAUGCAAACUUCGAAAGGCUAUAUUAUAUUUCCGAAUAUAAAAACUCUUCAACUGUUAGUUGUAUCGAGAUGCCUGAAUAUUUAUCGCAUCGUGAAUUUGCCUCGGUGUGUACAAAUUAGUAGCUUCCAUUGUCAUUGAUAAAUAUCAAUGGUAUACUCGAGGCUUUUUUCAGGAUUUUUUGCGUUCAGAUUUGACUUCCACUACCACGCUUCUGAUUGGUUAAUGGUAGCGGAAGUGAAAUCUGAACCUUGCAUGUUAUUGAGCGGCUGUAGGGGCAGAGUGGAUCCAGAUCUCCAGGGGGGGAUGAUCGCAAUUAUAUAUGCCUUUAGAACAGCUCAAAAUCGCGUUGACUUUGGAGUUAAUGUUUCUUUAAAACAUUCUCUCCAAAUGCUUGUUGUUUCCGACGGGAAACUAUUUCACGUCAUCCGACAGUUUCAAAACUUAAUUCAAGAUUUCAUAAUCAGCCCUGAAAACCCUCGUUCCAUUGUCUCAUGUGCACUCAAGAAGAUUUAGGAAGUAUAUGUCAAGCCUGUUUUCUUCUUCAACCAUAUUGCUUCAACCAUAUUGCGUCGAGUCAUCAUUACUUCCUCCGUAGGCUAGUGCUCAGUUGCUCAAAGCUGGAUUAGCGCUAACCCUCGGUUAAAAUUUAACCUUCAGCUAGGGCCGGUUGUUCAAAGCUAGAUUAGCGCUAUCUCUGGGUUAAAAUUUAACCUGCUGUUUUAGUUUAUGUAUUUCUGCACGUCUGCUUAUUUCAUAACUUCAGAGAAGAAAAACUCCUACUGAUUCAGACACGAUGUCUGAAGAAAUAUUUCCAAACUUAUAAACAAGCUAUUGGAAAGUAUGCUUUGAAUUUUAGGUUAACCUAGGGUUAAGCUAACUCAGCUUGGAACAACUGGCCCCUGUUUUAGUUUAUGUAUUUCUGCACGUCUGUUUAUUUCAAAACUUCACAGGAGACAACUCCUACUGAUCCAGACAAGAUUUCGUACAAUACGGUUGGUGUUGAAACAGGCGUUGGAAAUAGUAAAGCAUUUUUGGUUUAUGACUAUAUGCUUUUGCUUAAUUAUUUGGGGAGCCUCGCAGUGCCUCGGAAGAUCGUCUCCAAUUGGAUGGGGGUUUUCUAAAGAACGAAACAAUGUCAUUGUUCUGAACACAAAAGCAAUUGUCAAGUCGAGCCAAUGGAAAGCAAUCUUCCGAGCUACUGCGAGGCUACCCAAUUAUUUUAUUAUUUAUUUGGUUUACAAAUUACAACAGAACCGAAAUUGCGAACAGCAAAUUGUAUCAUGUAAAUAUACAAGCCUUUGCACAGAUAUAAAUUUAGUGAAUUGUUGAUUUAAAAUGAUAUCAUACACAUUAUUUAAAUUAUAAAAUAACGUUAAAAUUUAUACACAACAAUUUGUCGAAUUCAGACUUAAAAGUGGAUGUUGUUGGAUAUUUAACGACAAUUCCAGUUGUCAAUAUUUGCAGUUACAGCCGAACAUAUCCACGCCAAGCAGAAAUCAACUUAACAAUGUUGUAAUGUACAUGUGUGUAGAUGAGUUAUAGAAAGAUCAGAAAAGAUAUUUUAUUAAUUGUAGUAGGAGUAUGAGAGAUCUGGCACAUUUUCCCCAAGUGCAGAUUUCCGCCCCAAAUACCCAAAAAUUUCCGGACGACUUAUCCCCAGAUCCCAAAAAAAUUCCGGACGAAUUCUCACCAAAAAUAUUCGGACGGCUUCUCUCCAGGUUCCAAUCUCGUUUCCCGAGCCUGCGAUCCUCGGGAAGGAACGCGAGGCUCUGGGAUAAUCCGUUGCCGGAAGCCAGGAAUCCUGGCUAAGA